CACAUCAGGUUUUGAAAUACCUA
Molecule: non-coding RNA, 23 nt
Filed under: Arabidopsis thaliana (thale cress)
Lineage: Eukaryota; Viridiplantae; Streptophyta; Magnoliopsida; Brassicales; Brassicaceae
Source: RNAcentral